AAUAAAAAUAACCCUGUCCUCCAUUGAUAGAACAAGUUUUGACAUAUAGAUAAUAAAUUACUUCAUCCAGCCUUCCUCUUCUAUUCAUGUGGAUUUGGAUUAAAAGAGAGAAAGUAAAAAUAAAAGAAGAAUAAUAGAACAAAGAGAUGUUAAUUACUACAUGAGAAGCAAUGCUCUUCUCUUAGUGAUUUUGACCUAACCUAUCUAAAAUCAUUUAAUACAAGUUAAAGAAGUGAUAUAAGAUUGAAUAGUGAGAGCAAAAGAUAAAAAUUACUCAUUCAAUGCCUUUCAUACUAUGUCUUGGACCUAGCACAUGGAAGAAUACUCAUAUCAUAUAUAUCUUUAAUAAAUUUUUAAAUACCAUAUAAUUCAUAUUAUCAUACUUAACUUCAUAAUAUUAACAACUUUAUUUAGAAAUAUGAAGAAAAAAAGAAGAAGAAAAGAAGAAAAAAAUUUGAGAUAUAACAAUAAUAUUAUAAAGAGAGGCACUUAGCUGAUAUUUUAGCUUUGUGGUUGCUAUUAAAUCUUCAAUCAACCAUUGUCGUGUUAUGUGGGAUUUGGCUUGAGAAUGCUUCAGGCACCUAGUUGUGGAAGAUAAAAGGAAAAUUGCAACAACAAGUUUUAACAAUUCUAAUAUAUUCUUAAAAAAAUUACAAUUAACAAUUAGCAAACAUAAUCAAAUAUUGAUCAAAUUCCAUCAAAAUUUCAAUGGAAUUAUAUAAAAAACAUAAAUUAUUUCUAGAGAUUCUUUAAAGAAUCAUAAAAAAAUAACAUAGAAAUUCAAAAAAUAUACUAAAAUAGAAAACUUAAUUAAAUACUAAUCAAAAUCUAAUCAAAUUCUAAUCAAAUCCUAAUAGAAUCCUAACCAAAUCCUAAAUAAAUCCUAGUUAAAUCCUAAAAAAUCCUAACCAAAUUCUAAUAAAAUCCUAAACAAACCUUAACCAAAUCCGAAUCAAAUUCUAAAUAAAUUCUUACCAAAUUCUAAUCAAAUCCUAAAUAAAUCCUAAUCAAAUUCUAAACAUUGUAAUCAAAUUCUAAAUAAACCUUAGUCAAAUUUUAAAUAAAUACUAAUCAAAUAUUAAUCAAUCUUAAAUAAACCUUAAUAAAACUUUAGUCAAAUUCUAAACAAAUCCUAAAUAAAUCCUAAGCAAAUCCUAAAUAAAUCUUAGUCAAAUCCUAAUAAAUC
Molecule: long non-coding RNA, 1186 nt
Filed under: Physcomitrium patens
Lineage: Eukaryota; Viridiplantae; Streptophyta; Bryopsida; Funariales; Funariaceae
Description: long non-coding RNA (PPAT_LNC001420)
Source: RNAcentral